RNAcentral lists this ribosomal RNA (248 nucleotides) under uncultured bacterium. RNAcentral's name for it is "partial small subunit ribosomal RNA". It matches the Rfam family "Bacterial small subunit ribosomal RNA", at positions 26 to 286 of the family's 1533-position model. The record is from RNAcentral.
AGAAUCAACGCUGGCGGCGUGCCUAACACAUGCAAGUCGAACGAGAAAGUGGUAGCAAUACCAUGAGUAAAGUGGCGCACGGGUGAGUAGCACGUGACUAACCUACCCUUGAGUGGGGGAUAACUGAGGGAAACCUUAGCUAAUACCGCAUAAUACCCACGGGUCAAAGGAGCAAUUCGCUCGAGGAGGGGGUCGCGGCCGAUUAGUUAGUUGGCGGGGUAAUGGCCCACCAAGACGAUGAUCGGUAU